UACGUAGGAGGCAAGCGUUGUCCGGAAUUACUGGGUGUAAAGCGCGUGUAGGUGGCAGGCCAAGUCUGUUGUGAAAUCGCCCGGCUCAACUGGGCGCGGUCAAUGGAAACUGGUCAGCUGGAGGACGGUAGAGGCGAGUGGAAUUCCCGGUGUAGUGGUGAAAUGCGUAGAUAUCGGGAGGAACACCAGUGGCGAAGGCGGCUAUCUGGGCUGAAACUGACGCUGAGGCGCGAAGGCUAGGGGAGCAAACAGG
RNAcentral lists this ribosomal RNA (253 nucleotides) under uncultured bacterium. RNAcentral's name for it is "partial 16S ribosomal RNA". It matches the Rfam family "Bacterial small subunit ribosomal RNA", at positions 524 to 776 of the family's 1533-position model. The record is from RNAcentral.